RNAcentral lists this ribosomal RNA (253 nucleotides) under uncultured bacterium. RNAcentral's name for it is "partial 16S ribosomal RNA". It matches the Rfam family "Bacterial small subunit ribosomal RNA", at positions 524 to 776 of the family's 1533-position model. The record is from RNAcentral.
UACGUAGGGGGCAAGCGUUGUCCGGAAUCAUUGGGCGUAAAGAGCGCGUAGGCGGUCCGGUAAGUCCGCUGUGAAAGUCAAGGGCUCAACCCUUGAAUGCCGGUGGAUACUGUCGGGCUAGAGUCCGGAAGAGGCGAGUGGAAUUCCUGGUGUAGCGGUGAAAUGCGUAGAGAUCGGGAGGAACAUCAGUGGCGAAGGCGGCCUUCUGGACCAGUACUGACGCUGAGGCACGAAAGCGUGGGGAGCAAACAGG